AGAAGAAGCAAGGGGACAUCAUUACAACAACAAACAAAAAAAAAACGUCAAACCAAACAGCUUUCACCAGUUAUUAAAGACUAUAUACUACAUUCAUGACAUGACAUGAUCUGAGAAUUUGGGACAUUUUUUUAAGAAUUUUUAUAAAACUUUUUUUCCAUUUUUUGUUGCUAAAUAUAUAUUCAAAUCAAAAAAAUUACAUGUCCAAAAUUUUAGAGAUCAAGAUCAGUAUAUCAUUGGGCUUGACCAAAAUCCGGUCCUGGCUACGUCAUAUUUCAUUCACACAGACACAAGAUCAAGAACAAUCAGGACCAGAUUUGGGUCAAACCUAACGAACUACUGGCUUUGAUCUCUUAAUUUUUUUUUACAUUUUUUUUACAUACGUUUCAGUCCAUAAAUUAUGAAAAUAAUUUUUUUGUACAAAAGUAUAUUUAAGUCCAUAAAUUAUGAAAAUAUUUUUUUUUUACAAAAGUAUAUUUAUGAUCUCAAAUUUUCAGAUUAGGACCCGAGAACAAGGCACGAAGACACAGUCAAAACAUAUAGAAAUGAGAAAGGAAAAGACUAUCUACCAAAAGAACUCGCAACACAGUAGAUCUCAUCAACUAGAUGAUAAAAGUCUAUGAGACCGUGACAACACUUUAUAAU
Molecule: long non-coding RNA, 645 nt
Organism: Brassica rapa (field mustard)
Lineage: Eukaryota; Viridiplantae; Streptophyta; Magnoliopsida; Brassicales; Brassicaceae
Source: RefSeq, a predicted model, not a curated record